ACUGGAGGGGGGGAAGGUCUCUCAGCCAGGAUCGCGAGAGGGUGCAGGCCAGGCUGAGUGACCCCACCGGUGCACG
Molecule: microRNA precursor, 76 nt
Filed under: Myotis brandtii (Brandt's bat)
Lineage: Eukaryota; Metazoa; Chordata; Mammalia; Chiroptera; Vespertilionidae
Description: mir-9193 microRNA precursor family
Rfam family: mir-9193 microRNA precursor family
Source: Rfam by way of RNAcentral